Molecule: non-coding RNA, 2776 nt
Organism: Sesamum indicum (sesame)
Lineage: Eukaryota; Viridiplantae; Streptophyta; Magnoliopsida; Lamiales; Pedaliaceae
Source: RefSeq, a predicted model, not a curated record
AUUGGCUGGAAGUCCUAGUUGAGAUGUCUUUGUAAUGUUUAAGCAUGUGAGUAGUGUUGUAGUUACAUCUUUAUCUUGUUAUUGACCUAGAGCACUGCCAUGCCACUUUGGUCUAUACACUGUCCAGUGCUCCACAUCCUAAACCAGAGGUAACUCUAGAUGAAGUGGCUUUCUGCUGCUGGUUAAGGGAGAGAGAAUAUAGGACAUCACUGACUAUUUCAUAUCUAGCAACUAACAUAGGACUAAAUGGAAAACCAUUGGAAAAAGAUCCCUUUGAUGGACUAAAAUGCUUUAUGUCAUGCAUCUAACCUGAUAAUUAAGAAAUGUUCAAGAAGGUGAGGGGGAUGCUUCCUGUUCAAUGAAGCUGACUUGAAGUAGCAUGUUCCAAAAGAAUACAAGAAAGAAUCCUUCAUAUUUGGGGAGCACUAGAAGGUAGGAUCAUGAGUAAUCGCACUUGUAUUUACGAAGAAACUCUCAAAUUGGGAAAAAAAAAAAUUAUUUGUCGUGUUUCUUACCAUCAGGCUCUGGCCUAUGAUGUAUGCCAUCCAAAAAGUUCUAUUAAUGGACCAUUGUAUGAUCAAGUUUAACCACAACAGUAUUCCAAAGCAACUAAUUUUUAUCUCCAAUAGUGGAACAUGUGUUACUGUUAGAAGGCCCUUCGUAUUGAUAGGGAAAGUUGGUCACUGUUUUGAGUUAUACAAUGACCUAAUAAAUCAAUAUUUACUUAGACUAAAGAAUUAGCUGUUUAAUACCCAUCUUCAGUCAUUCCCUGCUUGGAGAAGAAUUUGAUUGACAUACACAUAGUCAUUGCAACAUUUGGACAUUUCUUGCCUUGUAAACCGAGUUUGUGUCAUUUGCAGUGCUUUGCAGCAUGGUAUGGUUCAUGUCCAGGAUUAAAGGUAUUGGUUCCAUAUUCUUCAGAAGAUGCACGAGGCCUGCUGAAAGCUGUGAUAAGGGAUCCAGAUCCUGUCGUGUUCCUUGAAAAUGAAUUGUUGUAAGUUGUAUGACAGUGAUGAUUUUCACCAGGCCUACUUAUGAAUGUAGCUUGGCAUCUGUACAUAAUUUUGUAUCAAUCUUAAGUUGUGUAAAUUUUUUCCUUGGGGGAUUAACUUUUCUUGUAUAGAUAUGGAGAAUCAUUUCCUGUCUCGGCUGAGGCUCUUGAUUCCAGUUUCUGUCUUCCUAUUGGGAAAGCUAAGAUAGAACGUGAAGGAAAUGAUGUAACAGUCAAUCACUGCUUUCUGGAAGAUGGUUGGCUGUGCUCUAAAGGACUUUGAGGUUGAUGAAUUCUCAAACGAAUACCUGGCUUUGCACCCAAUGCCAUCAACAACAAAAAAGCCAUCUUUGCUGGAGGAGCAUUUUGAAGCUGUUGAAGAAGAGGAUGAAAAGGCUAUUGGUGAUUCUGAUGCAUCAUCAGCGAGUGAAUUGUCAGACGAUGAGCAUGAAACACAAAGGCCAAAUCCAAGAAGAAAGUACAAGCUCCUAGAUUUUACGAAGUGAAGGAUAAAUGGCAAAAGAAGGGGUUUUCUAAAACCCCUCAAAAACAGAGAGGAAAAACCAACAGAGGGGUUAGGGUUUAGUACCACUGGCGGAGGGUUUAUUACUCCGGUUGAUGGAAGCGAAGAUGUGUUUCUUUCACCAAUCAGCACACCCAGGAGAAGCAGUGUCGGAGGGGGAUGCGACACAAAAAUCCAAGAAAGAAAACCCUACUGAUGAAGAGGAAGCUGGCGAAAGUUAAUCGGGCUCUGGGAGCCCGACUUCUUGAGGAGGAGGAAGAGCUGAAUGAGAAUAAGGGAGCUGAUGAUGCUGAUGCUCAGAAACAUCAGAUGCUAAGAAAACAUCAAAGAAAAAGAAAGGUCUCACGAGUGAAGUUCUCAACGAUGAGAGGUUUACAGCUAUGUUUGAAAAUAAGGGCUGGUAAGAAAGAAACAUGUAAUAUACGUGGUUCAGAUUCGAUCUCUGUGGCAAAGCAUGUGUGUUGGGUCAAGACCCGAUAUGAUUCUUCAUCUGAUUCAAGCACUGAGCCAAAGAAAGUCAGAGGUAUCAUGCAGUUGCUGUAGGCCAAGCCCAUGUUCCACUAUCUCUGACUGCUGUGAGUGCUGAGACUGUAGCUUCCCCUGUGGUCCAUGUGAUCCUGGCAGCAGUGCUAAGACAAAAUGGAAGUUUCUGUAAGUGUUCGACAAUUAAGUUACAAAAUGAUUGAAAUACAUGACAUGGAAAAUGCCAACAUCCAGAGGCCAUAGGUGAUCCUACUGCAAAAAUUAACUCUACUGGAUUGUAAGCUGAGAAGGAAAUGGAAAAAUCUAAGAUGUAAAAUCCGCUAUUACAUUCAGAGAACGCAUCUAAGUCUGGAAAGCCGAAUAUGAAAGAGCUAUCCAUUGACAAAGUUGUUCACCCCAGGACAAGUCUGGCAUCAUAUUACAGCAUUUUACAGGUUUUAGACAUUGGGUAAGCCAGGUAAGUAUUAUGUGUUGUCUGUUUAUUGUGAUUUUAUUGUGAUUGGUAAAGACAUUCAUGCACAUGGUUCAUGGCUAUACAGAGCCCUGAAUGUUAGUGUUUGCAUGUUGAUCAAAGACUUUUAUCAUCAUCGUGAACUCACUUAAGUAUUUCAGGCCUGAGGUGAAAGCAGUCAGUGGAGAGGUUCUGUGAACAUUUGUGUACCAUGAAAUUUUGGCAAGUAUUUUGGACCCUUGCUCUUUUGCGACAUUAUAGUUGCAACUUUUGUUGUGUUAGUACCCAUCAUGUUCUUAUAUUUUUAGAUUGGAUUCUUAGAAUACUG